GACGAACGCUGGCGGCGUGCUUAACACAUGCAAGUCGAACGGAAAGGCCUGCUUUCCCUUGUGGAUUGCGGGUACUCGAGUGGCGAACGGGUGAGUAACACGUGAGUGAUCUGCCCCCAACUUGGGUAUAAGCCUGGGAAACUGGGUCUAAUUCCCGAUAGGACUGCAGGGUGGUGCCUGUGGUGGAAAACGAUUUUCUAGUGGUUGGGGAUGAGCUCGCGGCCUAUCAGCUUGUUGGUGGGGUAAUGGCCUACCAAGGCGGCGACGGGUAGCCGGCCUGGGAGGGUGGACGGCCACAUUGGGACUGAGAUACGGCCCAGACUCCUACGGGAGGCAGCAGUGGGGAAUAUUGCACAAUGGGCGGAAGCCUGAUGCAGCGACGCCGCGUGGGGAUGACGGCCUUCGGGUUGUAAACUCCUUUCGACCGCGAGGAAGCCACCUGGUUGGAAGGGUGGUGACGGUAGUGGUAGAAGAAGCACCGGCUAACUACGUG
RNAcentral lists this ribosomal RNA (493 nucleotides) under uncultured bacterium. RNAcentral's name for it is "partial 16S ribosomal RNA". It matches the Rfam family "Bacterial small subunit ribosomal RNA", at positions 28 to 507 of the family's 1533-position model. The record is from RNAcentral.